This 331-nucleotide ribosomal RNA is filed under the name uncultured bacterium. Its description in RNAcentral is "bacterial SSU rRNA". It matches the Rfam family "Bacterial small subunit ribosomal RNA", at positions 179 to 507 of the family's 1533-position model. The record is from RNAcentral.
ACCGUCCGACUAGGUAGUAUAGUGUUAAGUACGUUUACCGCCUUGGGAUAGGCUUGCGUCUGAUUAGCUAGUUGGUGUGGUAAUGGCACACCAAGGCUACGAUCAGUAACUGGUCUGAGAGGAUGAUCAGUCACACUGGAACUGAGACACGGUCCAGACUCCUACGGGAGGCAGCAGUGAGGAAUAUUGGGCAAUGCACGAAAGUGUGACCCAGCAACGCCGCGUGGAGGAUGAAGGUAUUCUAUAUCGUAAACUCCUGUGAGAGCAGACGAAAGACAGAUUAUUAAUUUGGAUGACUGUAUGCUCAGAGGAAGCCCCGGCUAACUACGUG